Molecule: long non-coding RNA, 290 nt
Filed under: Elaeis guineensis (African oil palm)
Lineage: Eukaryota; Viridiplantae; Streptophyta; Magnoliopsida; Arecales; Arecaceae
Description: long non-coding RNA (EGUI_LNC075693)
Source: RNAcentral
CCAUCAUUUUCUCUCGAAAGAUCGACAAGAUCUGAGACCGUGAGAGCAAGAGAGAGAAGAAAAAGGAGAGCGAUCGAGAGGCAAGAGCGAGUUCAAUCGAAAGAAAGGGUGAGAGGAGAGGAGCGAGGUAGAUUCUGUGUGGGAGAGGGAGGUGACGGAAGGAGUGGGUGAGGCACUGAGGCAGUGACGGAUUAGUGGAUCAUGGAAGGGGUGAAGGGCUCUGCAUCCAAGGACUUUUUAGGAGAAAGAGAAGAGGAAAAGCUGAAAAGGAUGAAGUGCAGGGGUGUGAG